RNAcentral lists this ribosomal RNA (358 nucleotides) under uncultured bacterium. RNAcentral's name for it is "bacterial SSU rRNA". It matches the Rfam family "Bacterial small subunit ribosomal RNA", at positions 1 to 334 of the family's 1533-position model. The record is from RNAcentral.
CUAGCGACUUCAGAGUUUGAUCCUGGCUCAGGACGAACGCUGGCGGCGUGCUUAACACAUGCAAGUCGAACGAGGAUUACGAGAUUGAGAGCUUCGGCAGGAUAGAUCGUAAUUCGAGUGGCGGACGGGUGAGUAACGCGUGAGCAAUCUGUCCCAGACAGGGGAAUAACACUUGGAAACAGGUGCUAAUACCGCAUAAGACCACAGUAUCGCAUGGUACAGAGGUAAAAGGAGCAAUCCGGUUUGGGGUGAGUUCGCGUCCGAUUAGAUAGUUGGUGAGGUAACGGCCCACCAAGUCGACGAUCGGUAGCCGACCUGAGAGGGUGAUCGGCCACAUUGGAACUGAGAGACGGUCCAA